GCCUGGGUGGUUCAGUUGGUUAAGCGUCUGACUUUGGCUCAGGUCAUGAUCUCAGGGUUCGUGGGUUCAAGCCCCACCUCGGGCU
Molecule: transfer RNA, 85 nt
Filed under: Felis catus (domestic cat)
Lineage: Eukaryota; Metazoa; Chordata; Mammalia; Carnivora; Felidae
Also listed under: 2 other names
Rfam family: tRNA
About the family: Transfer RNA (tRNA) molecules are approximately 80 nucleotides in length.
Source: Rfam by way of RNAcentral